Molecule: ribosomal RNA, 253 nt
Filed under: uncultured bacterium
Lineage: Bacteria
Description: partial 16S ribosomal RNA
Rfam family: Bacterial small subunit ribosomal RNA
Source: RNAcentral
UACGGAGGGGGCGAGUGUUGUUCGGAAUUACUGGGCGUAAAGGGCGCGCAGGCGGCUUGGCAAGUCGAGUGUGAAAUACCUCAGCUUAACUGAGGAAUGGCGCUCGAAACUACCUCGCUAGAGGGCGGGAGAGGGAAGUGGAACUCUCGGUGUAGGGGUGAAAUCUGUAGAUAUCGAGAGGAACACCGGUGGCGAAGGCGGCUUCCUGGCCCGUACCUGACGCUGAGGCGCGAAAGCGUGGGGAGCAAACAGG